AUUUAUAUAAUAUAUAUAGUAUAUUUGACUUCCAAUCAAAAAGAUUAAUAAUUUAAUAUAAAUA
Molecule: transfer RNA, 64 nt
Filed under: Eurema blanda (three-spot grass yellow)
Lineage: Eukaryota; Metazoa; Arthropoda; Insecta; Lepidoptera; Pieridae
Description: tRNA-Gly
Source: RNAcentral